UAGAUAACCCUGAUGGCUAUGUUGAGGU
RNAcentral lists this non-coding RNA (28 nucleotides) under Homo sapiens (human). The record is from RNAcentral. Lineage: Eukaryota; Metazoa; Chordata; Mammalia; Primates; Hominidae.